RNAcentral lists this ribosomal RNA (459 nucleotides) under uncultured Levilinea sp. Its description in RNAcentral is "bacterial SSU rRNA". It matches the Rfam family "Bacterial small subunit ribosomal RNA", at positions 916 to 1381 of the family's 1533-position model. The record is from RNAcentral. Lineage: Bacteria; Bacillati; Chloroflexota; Anaerolineae; Anaerolineales; Anaerolineaceae.
GGACGGGCCCCGCACAAGCAGCGGAGCGUGUGGUUUAAUUCGAUGCUACACGAAGAACCUUACCAGGGUUUGACAUACAAGUAGUAGGGAAAGGAAACUGGACCGACCCUUCGGGGAGCUUGAACAGGUGCUGCAUGGCUGUCGUCAGCUCGUGUCGUGAGAUGUUCGGUUAAGUCCGCUAACGAGCGCAACCCUCGCUGUGUGUUACAAGUGUCACACGGAACUGCCGGUCAUAAACCGGAGGAAGGUGGGGAUGACGUCAAGUCAGCAUGGCCUUUAUAUCCUGGGCUACACACACGCUACAAUGGGAAGGGACAAUAGGUUGCGAAACCGCGAGGUGGAGCCAAUCCAGCAAAACUUCCCUCAGUUCAGAUUGCAGGCUGCAACUCGCCUGCAUGAAGUUGGAGUUGCUAGUAAACGCAGGUCAGCCAUACUGCGUUGAAUACGUUCCCGGGGCUU